CUUUUCAGCACAACCUCUUUAGAUUUUGUUUCUGUGCCUCUCUUCUGUCCCUUGUGUUACGUCUCGCUCUCGUCUUUGGUGUUUGUGUAUUUCCUGUUUUACUUUGACAAUCCCGUGUCCUGUGUUAGUGCAUCCUGUUUUGCUUCCUCUCUGUCUUGUCAUGUGUGAUUAGUCCCAGCUGUGUGCUGUGCAGUUCAACAUCACACUAAUCUAGAGAAACACCAACGUACUAAGAAACACAAAGCUGUGACACUUUAAGCGUUCCAGCUGAACAGCAAACAUAAAAUCACCGUCUGCUGUUUGAAGGGCGGCAACAGUUGAGAGCGUUGCUGCCUGAAUGACAAACACUGAGGUGAAAGAAGAUGGCAGUCAGAAAGGAACGAGUGAACAUUUCCUCAAGGACUUCAACUCCAACUCUUCUCCCACCUCCUCUCCAUUGAAAAAAACAUGUAGUACCUAAUCACACUGGACAACACAUGUUUGCAUGGCAGUGUACGUUGUCACAUAAACCUUGAGACCAACACACUUCAGACCCCCUGGCAUGUCUGGUUGCUGGUGAAAAAUGUGCAUUCUCCAACCUGACUGCUGGCUGGUGAAGUUAGUCACAAAGAGGGUCAUCCACCAAAAACCUCCAUGUGACUGCUUUGAUGGAUUGAAGGUUGUCCUGAUUGGCUGUAGCUUGCAGGGGAGACACCAACGUGCCUGUAAACACUCGCUGAGGAUUAGUGAAUCUGUGGAAAGUGCCUUUAGAGGAAAAGUUGAAGCUGAAGCACGUUGGCUGCAGAGGUAAAGCCCAGCUUUUACUUUGAAAGUGAAGCUCUAUGUCUCUCGUUUGGAUUGCACUUUCUCAAGUUGUUGAUUUUGCAGGUAAACUUCUAUGCAGACUGUGGGCAACUGCAGCAAUCUGCACAUGUUCUAGGCCCAUGUGUCUGGGACAUAACUAAAGCUGGAUUUACAUCUUUGUGUCCCUUCAUGUACCUGUUAGAUGAGACAAAGAAAAAUGCCAGUUCAGCACCACAAACCUGUGGAGAUGGAUCGUCCUGCAGUCCUUUAAUAAGACAGUAGAGUGUAACCUCUGUGCUGCUGAAUGGCAG
Molecule: long non-coding RNA, 1094 nt
Organism: Oreochromis niloticus (Nile tilapia)
Lineage: Eukaryota; Metazoa; Chordata; Actinopteri; Cichliformes; Cichlidae
Exons: 3
Source: RefSeq, a predicted model, not a curated record